UGAGUACGGUCAAGGUAGGCGGAAUGUGUAAUGUAGCGGUGAAAUGCUUAGAUAUUACACAGAACACCGAUUGCGAAGGCAGCUUACUGGGCCAUUACUGACGCUGAUGCACGAAAGCGUGGGGAGCGAACAGGAUUAGAUACCCUGGUAGUCCACGCCGUAAACGAUGAUCACUCGCUGUUGGCGAUACACAGUCAGCGGCUAAGCAAAAGCAUUAAGUGAUCCACCUGGGGAGUACGGCCGCAAGGCUGAAACUCAAAGGAAUUGACGGGGGCCCGCACAAGCGGAGGAACAUGUGGUUUAAUUCGAUGAUACGCGAGGAACCUUACCUGGGCUUAAAUGUAGAGUGCAUGAGGUAGAAAUACUUCUUUCCUUCGGGACUCUUUGCAAGGUGCUGCAUGGUUGUCGUCAGCUCGUGCCGUGAGGUGUCGGGUUAAGUCCCAUAACGAGCGCAACCCUUAUCGUUAGUUGCCAGCGGGUAAUGCCGGGAACUCUAACGAAACUGCCGGUGUAAACCGUGAGGAAGGUGGGGAUGACGUCAAAUCAGCACGGCCCUUAUGUCCAGGGCUACACACGUGUUACAAUGGCCGGUACAGAGGGCAGCUACCUGGAGACAGGAUGCGAAUCUCCAAAGCCGGUCUCAGUUCGGAUCGGAGUCUGCAACUCGACUCCGUGAAGCUGGAUUCGCUAGUAAUCGCGCAUCAGCCAUGGCGCGGUGAAUACGUUCCCGGGCCUUGUACACACCGCCCGUCAAGCCAUGGAAGUUGGGGGUACCUGAAGUCCGUAACCGUAAGGAGCGGCCUAGGGUAAAACUAGUGACUGGGGCUAAGUCGUAACAAGGUA
This 843-nucleotide ribosomal RNA is filed under the name uncultured bacterium. RNAcentral describes it as "bacterial SSU rRNA". It matches the Rfam family "Bacterial small subunit ribosomal RNA", at positions 642 to 1498 of the family's 1533-position model. The record is from RNAcentral.